RNAcentral lists this ribosomal RNA (460 nucleotides) under uncultured bacterium. RNAcentral's name for it is "partial 16S ribosomal RNA". It matches the Rfam family "Bacterial small subunit ribosomal RNA", at positions 338 to 795 of the family's 1533-position model. The record is from RNAcentral.
CCUACGGGUGGCAGCAGUGAGGAAUAUUGGUCAAUGGACGAGAGUCUGAACCAGCCAAGUAGCGUGAAGGAUGACUGCCCUAUGGGUUGUAAACUUCUUUUAUAUGGGAAUAAAAUGUUCCACGUGUGGGAUUUUGUAUGUACCAUAUGAAUAAGGAUCGGCUAACUCCGUGCCAGCAGCCGCGGUAUUCCGGAGGGUGCGAGCGUUAACCGGAUUGCUUGGGCUUAAAGGGCUCGUAGCCGGUAUGUCAAGUCAAGGGUGAAAUCCCCGGGCUCAAGGGGGGAACUGCCUUUGAAACUGGCAAACGGGAGUGUGUGAGAGGAGAGUGGAAUUCCAGGUGUAGGAGUGAAAGCCGUAGAUAUCUGGAGGAACAUCAGUGGCGAAGGCGACUAUCUGGCACAUAACUGACGCUGAGGAGCGAAAGCGUGGGUAGCAAACAGGAUUAGAUACCCCUGUAGUC